UCUGCUUUUUUUUUUUAAAGUAUAAAACCAUUAUUGGUAAAUAACAGAUACACCACCUACAUGUAACUUCAUAAAACACUUUAUGAGAAUGUUACAUCGGUAUAGUGAAUUUAAAAAAAUACUUCAAAUUCAGAUAUAAACGUUAUGUAAUAUUUGUUCGGAAUAGAAAUAUUUUUUUUCUGCCAAACAAAGAAAACAAAAAGACCAGUCUGCAUAUUGUAUAUAUAUAAUAUUUUUUCCCGUGAUCCGGAUCGCGGCCGCGGGGUUUUCUGAAAGUGUGCACGGGUAGCACACGUGCUUCAAUGAAAACAACACAACAAACGCUUGUAAUGUAUUCUACAUCUUGAAAACGACCUGAUGUCAGAUGAAGAAGUCUGAAGAUGUCCUGGAUAUCCUAUUGCAGGAUGACCCAAACGAUCAUGCAUUCAGUAUAAACAUGUAAGUUGAUGUAGCCACAUAGGCCGACUAGGAAAAAAGAACGUUCGUGGUUAUGUCAUAUCUACGUGUUAUGAAAAAUUAACGAUUAAUAUAUUAACCACAAUUUGAUGCCAUAAUUUGUAGUUUCAUGAAAGAAAAUAUUUAUAUUUUAUGAUAUCUAAACCAAGUGUAUAACACCCAAGUGUUUAUUAAGAGCUGAACAUACUGACAUCAAUUAAUCUGUCCUGCCCCGGCAUUAAUCAGUUUGAUCCCCCCCCCCCUUUUUUGAUAUCUCCUCACCUGACGCACGAGUGUAAGAAGAGGGUGGAUUUAGUGUACGAUGAGAAAAGGGUGGGAUGGUUUUAAUCAGACUGGGCAUUCAUGACCAUUGGUGAGGAGGCUAUUUUCCAAGAUUUUUCUAUGUUUAUAAAAAAAACUUAUCUUUCUAUGAAAGGAAAACACAAGCUGUUAGGAAAGCAUAUAUUAUACAUUAUUCUAUUAUCGUAAUAAUAAAAUUUAUAACCGUAAUUUGAGUUUUUUCUUCAUAUUGUAACAGAAAUAAAAACAAAAUGUGUGUUUGGGACAAAAUGUGGGGGAUGGGUGGGGUUGGUAUCAUCAAUCAAAAUCUGGUUAUGACAGGUUAUUGAAAAAUCAUUUAUAUAUGAUCCAAAAAUGCUGGUGUGCUAUGAGCUGACGGGCAUGUGUCCACUUCUUGCCUACAUUUUCUCUAAUUUCGACUAAAUCCACACCCCAUCAGAGUACCAUGCCAGGGGAUUUAGAACCAAUUCAAUUCUUCUUUAAAUCUUGGGCCAUUCAAUUUCCCUCAGAGGCACAAUAUUUUCGCUACCACUGUGUGUUUUAACCUGAAUUUCUUCAGUAUUUGCUCCCAUGUAUGUGUUGGGCAUAGUGCUAACACCUCCAUGAUGCAUGUUUUAUUUUCAAUACGCACUCUGCUACACUCGCAAUGUAUACUAUUCCAUUCAUUUGAUAUUUAACACAUGUAUGUAAUCCCUUACCAAAUAUCACUUCAUAUAUAGGACAUCUCUAUCUUUAAAUAAAUAACCAGUACUUUCCUGCGAAACUCUCCCUUAAUAUCAUAAAGUUUAUAUUCUGCUUUAAAACACAAACGAAUAAAUCUUAAUUGUAUUUUUUCAUCUUUAAAAAGGUUAUUGACAUCCCAAUCUUUAGUGGGAAGCUUCCAUGUAUCUUCCACUAGUGACAGUCUACUGGCAAAUCCAGAUAUGCAUUGGAAGUAUGUUGAUGUGGAGGACACAGAGACACCUGAUCCAAGAACUGUGGCAUUUCAUUCGGAGUGACAACCUGGCAUUCAGUUGAUAUGGGACCUGAUUAUUCAUAGAAUUGCAGAUUCUAUAAAGCUGUUUUUGAAAGAUUUAGUUUUCUCCAUCUGUGUUGCCACCAACCAUUAUGCUGAGAUGGUCAUAUCUAGGGGGAAGGAUUGCCAUUAUGCUUCCCAAGGAAGUUCGCAGCCUCUCACUGAAGAGGAACUGUACAGAUCUUUGGGCAAUAUCUUAUAUAUGUCUGCAAAGAAGUUCCAGUCGAUAGACAUAUAUUGGUGAACGCAUGCCUCUAUCGGAACAACCCAGCAUCAAGAAUUACGUCUAGAAAUAUGUUUUAAGAGGUUGAAUAUAAGAAGAACAUUUUUGUUAAAUAUAAUGCAAGUACAUUUAAAUUUAGUGAUUGAAAGUAAGUACUUAAACAUUCGUAUACAAUGAACUUGGGGAGGAAAAACGGGCAUUACUUUCUCAUAGCAUUUGAUAUCAUAAUGGUGUUGUUGCUUAGCAACCAAAUAAAUUUGAAUAUAAAAAAUAGAUUAUUUUAGAUUUUAACAGAAAAGAUCUUUGUUUUAAUGUUGCAAUAUUUAUACUAUUUAGUUGAACAUAAUGGCAAACUGUCAUAUUAGAAAAUGAUGAAUAUGUAUAUGAAGUACGAAAUUUCCAUUUUAUGACCUUUGACCUUAAUUCUCUUCAUUAUAUUUUUUGUUAAAAACCUUUUAAAAUGAUUAAGAUCUAGUCAAAUAUUAUAUUUUUAGAAUAAUGCGACAUUUACUAAUCAUCAUGCAAUGUAAUUAUGUUUAAAUUGUGUCGAAUGGAUGUAGAAAGGCAAAUUAUGGUCAAAAUUACACCAUGAGUGUUGUUACUUAGCAACCAAAAAUAUUUGUUUGUCAAUAAAAUUGAUUAAUUUGAU
Ostrea edulis (European flat oyster) is the source of this 2622-nucleotide long non-coding RNA. RefSeq lists it as uncharacterized. Lineage: Eukaryota; Metazoa; Mollusca; Bivalvia; Ostreida; Ostreidae. The record is from RefSeq and is a predicted model, not a curated record. The transcript is spliced from 3 exons.